GAUGAACGCUGGCGGCGUGCUUAACACAUGCAGGUCGAACGAAGCACUUUAUUUGAUUUCCUUCGGGACUGAUUAUUUUGUGACUGAGUGGCGGACGGGUGAGUAACGCGUGGGUAACCUGCCUUGUACAGGGGGAUAACAGUUGGAAACGGCUGCUAAUACCGCAUAAGCGCACAGCAUCGCAUGAUGCAGUGUGAAAAACUCCGGUGGUAUAAGAUGGACCCGCGUUGGAUUAGCUAGUUGGUGAGGUAACGGCCCACCAAGGCGACGAUCCAUAGCCGACCUGAGAGUGUGACCGGCCACAUUGGGACUGAGACACGGCCCAAACUCCUACGGGAGGCAGCAGUGGGGAAUAUUGCACAAUGGGCGAAAGCCUGAUGCAGCGACGCCGCGUGAGCGAAGAAGUAUUUCGGUAUGUAAAGCUCUAUCAGCAGGGAAGAUAAUGACGGUACCUGACUAAGAAGCACCGGCUAAAUACGUG
This 481-nucleotide ribosomal RNA is filed under the name uncultured bacterium. RNAcentral's name for it is "partial 16S ribosomal RNA". It matches the Rfam family "Bacterial small subunit ribosomal RNA", at positions 28 to 507 of the family's 1533-position model. The record is from RNAcentral.